This 253-nucleotide ribosomal RNA is filed under the name uncultured bacterium. Its description in RNAcentral is "partial 16S ribosomal RNA". It matches the Rfam family "Bacterial small subunit ribosomal RNA", at positions 524 to 776 of the family's 1533-position model. The record is from RNAcentral.
UACGAAGGGUGCAAACGUUGCUCGGAAUUAUUGGGCGUAAAGCGCACGUAGGCGGCCUUGUAAGUCGGAUGUGAAAUCCCUCGGCUUAACUGAGGACGUGCGGAAGAAACUGCAAGGCUCGAGUCCGGGAGAGGGGGGUGGAAUUCCCAGUGUAGCGGUGAAAUGCGUAGAUAUUGGGAGGAACACCGGUGGCGAAGGCGGCCCCCUGGACCGGUACUGACGCUGAGGUGCGAAAGCGUGGGGAGCAAACAGG